This 527-nucleotide long non-coding RNA is filed under the name Junco hyemalis (dark-eyed junco). RNAcentral's name for it is "lncRNA (ENSJHYG00000005106.1)". Lineage: Eukaryota; Metazoa; Chordata; Aves; Passeriformes; Passerellidae. The record is from RNAcentral.
CUGAUGACAGAGCAGAGGCCUUGGCCACACAGUGUCAACAGGCCAGUGGUGCCCACCAGGAAACUCAAUCCCAGCUGGACAAACUGCUCUUAGCUGUCCACCACAUGAUCAGGGACAGCAGGGACUUGGUCACUUGGCGCUCAGAAGAGGAUCAUGUCAUGGGCCUAACUGCUUCUCAGGCUGGGGAUGUCUCCACAGAGCUCACAGUGGACAGAGUGGCAGCAGCUCUGCAAGACCUGCAGCAGCACCUGGAGCAUUCCCAGAAAGAUCUGAAUGAUGCAAGGAACAGGAUACAGGCCUUGGAGCUGGAGCUGGGCACGGGACAGGAUCAGAUGGACAAUCUCAGAGCCAGCAAUCAGGAGCUGCAGAUACAGUUGGAUGAAAGUCGGGCAGCAAUGUUGAGGGCAGAACACCAGAAGACCUCUCUAGAAACUGCCUUGAAGGAAGAAACCAUUACCCUGAAGGAAGAGGCUGUGACUCUUCGUCAGGAGGUGGCAUCUCUGAAAAAGAAAUUGGAAAACCUGGAG